GGAGAAAGGCUUAUUAAAGCGCGGAUGGGCUUCUAACUCGACCGAGGGUGGUUAUUUAUCCCUUUCUUU
RNAcentral lists this transfer RNA (69 nucleotides) under Anadara cornea. RNAcentral's name for it is "tRNA-Ser". The record is from RNAcentral. Lineage: Eukaryota; Metazoa; Mollusca; Bivalvia; Arcoida; Arcidae.